AAGAAAUGAGUUUGCAUUUUUUUAUUUCCUUUUUUGUUUAAAUAUUUUAUUUUCUUAUCAUUUUAUUUUAAUUAUUAGAAAACCACGUGUCAUCCUCUUACUAGUUGGAUUCAAAAUUAGGGGAGAGAUCAUGUAUAGGAUCCCCUCAGCGUAUCCACCAUCGACUACAUUUUAAUGUCACAUGAUUUGGAUCAAGGGGCUCGUAUCUGGUGGAUCUGGUGGUUUGAUCAUGGCCAUCUGAUCUUCA
RNAcentral lists this long non-coding RNA (247 nucleotides) under Lathyrus oleraceus (garden pea). Its description in RNAcentral is "Pisum sativum (pea) long non-coding RNA (PSAT_LNC007326)". Lineage: Eukaryota; Viridiplantae; Streptophyta; Magnoliopsida; Fabales; Fabaceae. The record is from RNAcentral.